GUUCAAUCUAAGAGUCGGUUAUAGAACACGCUGGUUGAGAAAACACGAAAGUUAUGCGUCGGAAACUCGUGAAGCACAGGUGCUAAUUACGACUUUCCUACACCAGCCAGCAUCACCUGAACCCCCUCACCACAUUUAUUACUUCGAAAUACACUGUAACACCAGAAUAGGGUUCUUUUCAAAGGAUCUCGUUAAAAUGAUGAUAAAUGUUACCUUCUGGUAUCCGGUACCGUAGCCUUCUCAAGUAAUUCAUCUUUAGUGUUAUUUUCAUCAAAGCGUUAACAACCAUCAGAUGAUAAGGUGUAUAGAGGUCCAUAUUAAAACAAUUAAAAUCUAAAGAAAUUAACAAAGAUAUGCCAAGCCUCAUAAAAAUACAGGAGUACAUCAGUAGGGGAAGUAUGUUAGUGAAAUGACCUCGCAAACAGAAAGGGUAUUGCACUAACUCACAUUACCGUAAACAGUUAACAUGAAUUGCUCCAAGACGAGUACUGUAAGAUAUUACACAAAAAUAUAUUCCUAAGGAAAGGAAAUAUUUUUGAAAUGUUUUAUACCCAAAGGCAAAAACAAUUUCAUAAAUUUGAAUAGGUUUUAUUAUAUUCACUACAAGUCUGGGAAGUGAGAAAGGACGUAGAACAUGUUACGUCAAUAAUGCUAAAAUAGAUUUUUAGGCAAUAUGCAUAUCAAACUAAUUAUAAAAUUGUAUCCUAGAGUAUAAAAUGUAUUU
Molecule: long non-coding RNA, 724 nt
Organism: Danaus plexippus (monarch butterfly)
Lineage: Eukaryota; Metazoa; Arthropoda; Insecta; Lepidoptera; Nymphalidae
Exons: 3
Source: RefSeq, a predicted model, not a curated record